AUACGUUCACGACCUUUUGGCUGAGAUCAAAGUGUAGUAUCUGUUCUUAUCAGGUUAAAAUCUCAUACGGUUCCUAUUUGGGACCACAAUAUUAAACUGAUUUUUAGAAUGAAGCAAAGUCAGGGACUUUCUUCGCCUUUACCACGGGUUGGCCUGGUAUUAUAGUACUUCCAGAAUUCAGCCCAUCUUCA
Molecule: small nuclear RNA, 191 nt
Organism: Octopus sinensis (East Asian common octopus)
Lineage: Eukaryota; Metazoa; Mollusca; Cephalopoda; Octopoda; Octopodidae
Product: U2 spliceosomal RNA
Exons: 1
Source: RefSeq, a predicted model, not a curated record